UGGCUGAGAAACCCUGGGACCACGUCACUGACGCACAGCUGUCUGACGCAUUGGAAGCCUUCAGGGGAGAAAUCCUGCAAAUAC
Molecule: non-coding RNA, 84 nt
Filed under: Octactis speculum
Lineage: Eukaryota; Dictyochophyceae; Dictyochales; Dictyochaceae
Source: RNAcentral